UGUGUUCAUGAUCACGGUGACAAUGCUGCCGUGGAGUUGAUGAUCGCAGGGUGCCGGUACUGCUGUGGAGCUGAUGAUUAUUUUCUACUGUAUCUUCAAUUUCUCGAUUUAUCACUUCCUGUUCUUUGAUUCGACUUGGGGAAAAGGAGACGACAAAGAGAGAAAUCGAAGAUCUGAAGACUGAAAUCAUGGAGUACGUUCAUUCAGGUGCUUAUGGCAUUCCUUACAGGAUAGGCUAAGUAAGGGUGGCUCAAUCAAGAGCCGAGAUGAAAUAUAUUUGAAGCUUCACACAAGCAUAGGUUCGUUCAUGAAUGACAGGCUUCUCUACCAGAGGGAUGAGGAUACAAAAGUGAGAUGAGGGUCAUUAGGGUGAACACAAUUUUUGGUUGAGUGACAUUUCCAUGCCAACAUUACGUAACGUAAAUACUCAAACCCAUGAAUGUAUUUCUUUGUUUGGGUAGAAAAAAGGGUGGGGUUACGUAUAUGGGGUUCAUGUAGUUCAGUAGAAGAGCCGAAGCCGAGUCUCUAACAGCAACAAAUCCUUCUUCUUCUGCCUGAAUCUUGCCAAGGUGUUGUUGCACAUCAAAUAAUAAAAGUGUAGAGCAUGGAUGUGUGUUCGUUGAUACUCACGCAUACGUUGGUCCUCCCGUGUUCGUCAGUCCUCCUGCGUUCGUAGUUCUCCCAUUUUCUUCGUCA
Long non-coding RNA from Tripterygium wilfordii, 696 nucleotides. RefSeq lists it as uncharacterized. The transcript is spliced from 3 exons. The record is from RefSeq and is a predicted model, not a curated record. Lineage: Eukaryota; Viridiplantae; Streptophyta; Magnoliopsida; Celastrales; Celastraceae.